CACUCCUACGGGAGGCAGCAGUGGGGAAUAUUGGACAAUGGGCGCAAGCCUGAUCCAGCCAUGCCGCGUGAGUGAUGAAGGCCCUAGGGUUGUAAAGCUCUUUCACCGGUGAAGAUAAUGACGGUAACCGGAGAAGAAGCCCCGGCUAACUUCGUGCCAGCAGCCGCGGUAAUACGAAGGGGGCUAGCGUUGUUCGGAUUUACUGGGCGUAAAGCGCACGUAGGCGGACUAUUAAGUCAGGGGUGAAAUCCCGGGGCUCAACCCCGGAACUGCCUUUGAUACUGGUAGUCUUGAGUUCGAGAGAGGUGAGUGGAAUUCCGAGUGUAGAGGUGAAAUUCGUAGAUAUUCGGAGGAACACCAGUGGCGAAGGCGGCUCACUGGCUCGAUACUGACGCUGAGGUGCGAAAGCGUGGGGAGCAAACAGGAUUAGAUACCCUUGUAGUCCCAUG
RNAcentral lists this ribosomal RNA (449 nucleotides) under uncultured organism. RNAcentral describes it as "partial 16S ribosomal RNA". It matches the Rfam family "Bacterial small subunit ribosomal RNA", at positions 334 to 799 of the family's 1533-position model. The record is from RNAcentral.